AAAUGAAUAGACGGGGACCCGCACAAGCGGUGGAGCAUGUGGUUUAAUUCGAAGCAACGCGAAGAACCUUACCAGGUCUUGACAUCCCGGUGACCGGUGCGUAACGGCACCUUUCCUUCGGGACACUGGAGACAGGUGGUGCAUGGUUGUCGUCAGCUCGUGUCGUGAGAUGUUGGGUUAAGUCCCGCAACGAGCGCAACCCUUAUCCUUAGUAGCCAGCAAUACGGUUGGGCACUCUGGGGAGACUGCCAGGGAUAACCUGGAGGAAGGUGGGGAUGACGUCAAAUCAUCAUGCCCCUUAUGAUCUGGGCUACACACGUGCUACAAUGGCGUAAACAAAGGGAGGCAGCCCUGCGAAGGUGAGCGAACCCCAAAAAUAACGUCUCAGUUCGGACUGCAGUCUGCAACUCGACUGCACGAAGCUGGAAUCGCUAGUAAUCGCGAAUCAGCAUGUCGCGGUGAAUACGUUCCCGGGUCUUGUACACACCGCCCGU
This 494-nucleotide ribosomal RNA is filed under the name uncultured bacterium. RNAcentral's name for it is "bacterial SSU rRNA". It matches the Rfam family "Bacterial small subunit ribosomal RNA", at positions 903 to 1397 of the family's 1533-position model. The record is from RNAcentral.